This 350-nucleotide long non-coding RNA is filed under the name Olea europaea subsp. europaea. The record is from RNAcentral. Lineage: Eukaryota; Viridiplantae; Streptophyta; Magnoliopsida; Lamiales; Oleaceae.
AUGAGAUUAGACGCACCUAUGACUAGUACAAUGAGAUCAGAUGCACCCGCUUUUCGCCCGACAUUCAGUGCACCACCAUCUGAACAAUACUUAUCAACAAAGCAGGCUCCUACACGCAGGCGAGACCCCUCUCCAACGAGCGAGCCAGACAUCGCAGACUACUAUGAUCCGGAAAUGUUUCAAACCAGACGCAUGACUCGAUCAAUGUCUAUGUACUACCACCCGAAGAUUUACCCUCGGGAAUACCCUUGAGUCCCUUUCAUUAGUUUUUGUUCGUGUCUUGUUUACUGUGAUUGCAUUUUAUCUUCAAAUAUUUGUUACAAUUUACAUUUGCUGGAGGUCAGGUCCAU